GUGCUAUAAAUUGGAUUCCCUAGUUGAUGAAAUCUAAUGUAUGCAUAAGGACAUGUAAACUGUCAAUGACAUGCUGAUUCAUCUGCAAUAAUUGUGAAAUAAUCAGAGUCACACAGUGCAUGAGAUGCGUGAUGGACAAUUUGUCUAUGAUCGAUGAUUAAGAACAUUGAAGAGCUUGAAUAGCUCGACAUGAUCAUGCAUAAAAAAUUGCUAAUAGAUUUAAUCCCUGCAAUCUCUGAUUCAUAUGAAUAGUUUGUAAAACUAUUAUAUGAAUAAAUAUUAUAAUACCUUAACUGAAUUAAUCGAUAUGCUGGUAACUAAGGGACCUUAAAAAGUUCAGAGAUAAAUACCUGAGAACCUGAAGAAACAUUGACACACCUUUGGAAGGUAUAUCAAAUUACUCAAAAUUGAUCUUACGUUUUCUCUUUUUCAUUUGACUCUAGUGCAUACUACGUACUUUAAUAUAAGAUCUAAGAAAAGAAGAAGACUGAGAAAAGGUAAAGUGACUCUUUUGAGUCGGCAAUGGUGCAAAAAUUGCACUAAACCGUGGGCACCUAAUCUCGAUGAUUACUGUUUGGAUUUAGUUCAUUAUCAUUGCAUGGUGAUGCAUUUGUGAACUUAUUUAAGCAAAUAGUGCAUGCCAUUGGAUCUAAGAGAUCCAAAACCAAAUAACCUGAAGUAUAUAGAUAGUUCUUUUGGCUAGAUCAUGUAUGAGAAAAAAUGAUUUGCCGAUCGAAGAAAAUGGACCUUUGGGCUCAUUGACUGUUAAGUCAUAUCUAGUAUGUGAAUCAUCUCUUUGAGGAUUAAUGACCAAGCUGUCCUUUGUAGAUCAAAAAUAUAAGACCACUGAGAUACUCUAGUACACAUGAUGCGUAUGGCCCAUUUGAUGAGCCAGACUAGGAGGUUAUCACUGCUUCAUCAUCUUUAUCGAUGAGAAGUCAUGAUAUACGUAUAUAUAUGUGAAAUACAAAUCUGAAAGACUUUGAAAGAUUCAAAGAAUUCAGAUGUGAAGUAGAAAAAGAUAAAUUGAAAAAUUUCUAAAGGUACUUCGAUCAGAUAGAGGAUGCAAUAUUGAAGAAAAAAUUUAUCGAUUAUCUAAAGAGAAUGACAUAAUUUCAUGAUGAAAUUCUCCUUAUACACCUCAGCUCAAUGGUGUAUAUGUGAGGAGCAAUGGUGCUAUAUGAGAUAUGGUCCGAUCCAUCAUGAAUGUCACUAAUUUAACUAUUGUUUCUUUAGGAGCAAGAUUUAAUUUCUGAAAUUUCAAUUAGAUUUUCUUUAAAGUUAGUUUCACCACACCAUAUAAAAUAUGAUAUGGUGGACAAGUUAGAGGAUAGGUCUGUGAAAGCUCACUUAUGGAGUAUCCCAAAAAAAUUUGGGAUGUCACUCUCUCCCCAGUGGCUCAUAAUGUAAUUGUGAGCAAUCAUACUGCUUUCUUGAAAAUAAUGGGAGGAUGAACUCAAAAAGAAAUCUCUAAAAAAUAAUGAGUCACAGGACCUACACAACCUAUUUAAGAUGAGCCAGUAUAUGCAGUACUUCCUCCACCUCAUAGAUCUAGUAGGAUCUCCCAUCCUUUAGAAAGGAUUCAGAGAAAGUAUUUCUCGAGGGAGGUUGGGAACAUAAGGAUGAUCCCAAAAAUCCUACAACGAUGUGAUAUGAAGAAUCAUAUAGUUACAUGAAGGUCAGUGGGAGGGUCCCAUACUGACAUCGAUUAUGAUAUGGUUACAUAUAUAAUUUUCUUAUCAAAGAUCUAGGUCAAAUAUUUUAGAAAUAAAAGGUCUAUAGAGAUAGAUCCUAAAAAGAUGUUUGUUUUUUCACAGACAAGUACAUAAAAGAGGUACUGAAAGGGUUCAGUAUUGAAACCUCCAAGAGGGAUCCAUUAUUCUCUUGGGCAUAGGUGCAUACUAUGUUACGUACUCGACUUGGUAUGUCUUGCUGUGAAAAUCACGGGCAGAUAUUAGUCGAAUUCAGACUGGGAGUAUUGGAUUGCUAUGAAAAUAUCCCUAAGUACUUAAGAAGCACUAAAAGAUUAUUCCUCGUCUUUGAAGAAGGGUUAGAGCUAAGAGUGGAAGGAUACACUGACGCUAAUGGUAGAAUGUCUACAUCAGUAUGUAUUCUUGAGUUUUGUUGGUUCGGUAUGUUGCAAGGGUUCCAGACAAUUGACCAAUAGAAGCUGAAUAUACUAUAGAUGUGCAGGAUGCAUUCUAAUUCUCAUGAUAGUUGCGAAACUGGAUGUCAUACCAUUGGAUGCUAUGACAUUAUACUGCAAAGAUAAUGAUCCAUAGCCAUCACUAAGGAGCCAAGGUCUCACCAGAAGUCCAUGCAUAUAAAAUAGGGAUAUACACGAUUACCUCAAAAAAAAUACAUGAAGGUACAGAGAGUAAACUCCACAUAAUAGUGGUAGGCCAAGUCACUUAGCCAGCUAAACACCGAAGCCUAUCUUCAGAAGAUGAAGCUCAGGUAUAUGGCAAAUUAGCUUUAGUGCAAGUGGGAGUUUGUUAGAUGUGUGUCCUAGAAGCCAAUCUUGACUGACACAUACUUUUCUCUAAGACAUAUUUUGUACUUGAUGGACAGUCUUUAUAACCAAUCAUAUCAUUUGUCUAUAAUUUAUCCUAAAAAUUAACAAAGAUAAUUUUGUAUAUUCUCAAGAUGUUGAGAAUUUGAGACAUAUAUCAUUAGUGAUUAAUUUCUAAAUGCUUCCGAUCAAAAGAUCGUUACAGAGGAUAGUGAUCAAUUCAUUUAAGAUCGGUGCAUGGAUCACCUCUCUUUGGGACAGAUAAAUCUCGAGUCUGCGGUGUAAAUACUGAGGUGAGAGUGCAGGUGGUUGUUAGAGCUUGCAUUGAGAUGACCAACACGAGAACCACUUGACUAUAUGUUUCUUUGGUCCCUAGCCAUUCGGAUCCUUACUGUGUAUGUUGGCUAUUGUAGGUUCAGGUUCGCUGGUUGGAGUAGGAUGCACCUAGAUGGAAUCUAUUGAUCUUGAUAGAAAAAAAAAAUUCUAUGCGAUUCGUAAGACUGAGUUCAGAAAAUUUUUGAUCAAAAUGAAUACUGAAAAAAAAAUUUACGAGAUUUACAUAUGAACUCGAGUCGAGCAAAUCUAGUAUAUGACUGACGAUGGGAUUUAACGAGUUCUCCAUGACCUCCAUCAAGUUGGGACUCACGAUAGAGAGAUUGUAUCACACGAUAACUGUACCUAGAAGUUUAUUUCUUCUAUUUUGCUGGGUUGCCACUACAUAUUGUUAGAUGUCACUGGUGAAUCGUGAGAACUCACUAAGAUCAUUUUCAGAUAAACGAUCCUUAUUGAGAUGAGUUGGAAUCCUUUCAGCCUAUCAAAAAGAGUUUC
Molecule: long non-coding RNA, 3340 nt
Filed under: Elaeis guineensis (African oil palm)
Lineage: Eukaryota; Viridiplantae; Streptophyta; Magnoliopsida; Arecales; Arecaceae
Description: long non-coding RNA (EGUI_LNC075287)
Source: RNAcentral